Long non-coding RNA from Balaenoptera musculus (blue whale), 976 nucleotides. RefSeq lists it as uncharacterized. The record is from RefSeq and is a predicted model, not a curated record. The transcript has 4 exons. NCBI's taxonomy places the organism in Eukaryota, Metazoa, Chordata, Mammalia, Artiodactyla, Balaenopteridae.
CCUCAGGAGGCAGCAGCGGGGCGGGACCGAGCCGGCAGGCGCAGCCAUGUUCUGGGCCCCCGAGGUGUCUGAGCGCCUCGACGAUGCGGCGGGAAGCCGCUCCCGCUGGGCGGCCGUCACAGUCUGGGCAGGCGACGCGGGGACUCCGCGGCCUCACUUGCAGGCCCGUCACGGCUGCUCUGCGCUGACCGCGGGGCGGGUCCCCGCGGGGCCACUUCCCAAAGUUCCAGCCCGAUGGGGGUUUGUCUCAGCGCCCGCUUGCAGAGAGCCAAGACCAGCUCCGAGAGCUCAGGGGAGGGCUUCGCAUCCGUUCAAGUGUGCAGCCCGAGAGGCUGGGACAAUUAAAAGCCUCGCGUCCCCAGUUGGAAGCUGAAGAACGGGCAUUACCUUCAGCCGCAGUGUCUCGUUUGCCACUUGAACUUUUCACUUGCUCAGACCCCCAACAGGUCACUUUUGAUGGACGAUUGAGUUUAAUAAUGCUUGUCAAGCCAGACACAGCAAACGCUGAACCUAAAUCGUCGCGCACCGAGAUCCACUAGAGGGCAGGUCUACACCUGCUGAGUUCCAGCGCAUCCUGCAAAGAACUCAGGAGACAGGAAAAGAAACGUCCUUCCUUAUAUGCUUAGAGAUGAGGAAAUGAAGGAUGAGGCACAGAAGGCUUGAGUAACUUGCUGAAGGUUCCAUAGCUCAGAAGCCUGGUGGAUCCAGGAUUCAAACCAGAGUCCAAGCUCUUAUCCUCUACACUCUUCUGCCGUUCUCAACUCUGUCGACGGAACCUCAGUUUGAGCUCUGGUCAACUCUGCUAUUUCCUGUCCAGACCUAUCCUCGGGACCAAAUAAUAGAGAAGAACACAUCUCCAGUUCACUGUAGACAUCACUGAACAGAGUUGCCUGGAAGGUGAACUGGGAGCAGUUAAACAUCAAGCUCAUUGCCAAUUUUCGGCUUUAACUGGAAUCACCUUUGCCUUUUCCUGUGG